CUCAGAUUGAACGCUGGCGGCAGGCCUAACACAUGCAAGUCGAACGGUAACAGGAAGAAGCUUGCUUCUUUGCUGACGAGUGGCGGACGGGUGAGUAAUGUCUGGGAAACUGCCUGAUGGAGGGGGAUAACUACUGGAAACGGUAGCUAAUACCGCAUAACGUCGCAAGACCAAAGAGGGGGACCUUCGGGCCUCUUGCCAUCGGAUGUGCCCAGAUGGGAUUAGCUUGUUGGUGGGGUAACGGCUCACCAAGGCGACGAUCCCUAGCUGGUCUGAGAGGAUGACCAGCCACACUGGAACUGAGACACGGUCCAGACUCCUACGGGAGGCAGCAGUGGGGAAUAUUGCACAAUGGGCGCAAGCCUGAUGCAGCCAUGCCGCGUGUAUGAAGAAGGCCUUCGGGUUGUAAAGUACUUUCAGCGGGGAGGAAGGGAGUAAAGUUAAUACCUUUGCUCAUUGACGUUACCCGCAGAAGAAGCACCGGCUAACUCCGUGCCAGCAGCCGCGGUAAUACGGAGGGUGCAAGCGUUAAUCGGAAUUACUGGGCGUAAAGCGCACGCAGGCGGUUUGUUAAGUCAGAUGUGAAAUCCCCGGGCUCAACCUGGGAACUGCAUCUGAUACUGGCAAGCUUGAGUCUCGUAGAGGGGGGUAGAAUUCCAGGUGUAGCGGUGAAAU
Molecule: ribosomal RNA, 675 nt
Filed under: Escherichia sp.
Lineage: Bacteria; Pseudomonadati; Pseudomonadota; Gammaproteobacteria; Enterobacterales; Enterobacteriaceae
Description: bacterial SSU rRNA
Rfam family: Bacterial small subunit ribosomal RNA
Source: RNAcentral